This 467-nucleotide ribosomal RNA is filed under the name uncultured bacterium. Its description in RNAcentral is "bacterial SSU rRNA". It matches the Rfam family "Bacterial small subunit ribosomal RNA", at positions 337 to 796 of the family's 1533-position model. The record is from RNAcentral.
UCCUACGGGGGGCAGCAGUGGGGAAUUUUGGACAAUGGGGGCAACCCUGAUCCAGCCAUGCCGCGUGCGGGAAGAAGGCCUUCGGGUUGUAAACCGCUUUUGGUCGGGAAGAAAAGGCCAUUCCUAAUAGGGGUGGUUCUUGACGGUACCGGCAGAAUAAGCACCGGCUAACUACGUGCCAGCAGCCGCGGUAAUACGUAGGGUGCGAGCGUUAAUCGGAAUUACUGGGCGUAAAGCGUGCGCAGGCGGUUGGCCGGGUCCGAUGUGGAAGCCCCGGGCUCAACCUGGGAAUGGCAUUGGAAACUGGCUGGCUGGAGUGUGGCAGAGGGGGGUGGAAUUCCACGUGUAGCAGUGAAAUGCGUAGAGAUGUGGAGGAACACCGAUGGCGAAGGCAGCCCCCUGGGCCAACACUGACGCUCAGGCACGAAAGCGUGGGGAGCAAACAGGAUUAGAUACCCUGGUAGUCC